This is a non-coding RNA of Stegodyphus dumicola, 73 nucleotides long. The record is from the annotation of a RefSeq genome assembly. Lineage: Eukaryota; Metazoa; Arthropoda; Arachnida; Araneae; Eresidae.
GCCUUCGUGGUGUAGUGGUAAGCACGCUCGACGCAUAUUCGAGAGGUAUCAGGUUCGAGUCCAGACGAGGGCA